GGAAUCAAUGGGGGAGAAAGAUGGCGGGGGCAGAGAGUGUGGGGGAGGAGGUAGGUCGGAGGGAGGGAAAGGGAGGGAUGGGAGUAGGGGAAGCCAGGGGUGGAGGAAGGUGGUGGAUACACGUCACAAAUACGUCACGCCUGUUCGAAUGUGCAAGUGGCUCACGCAGGUUUUGCCAUCACAUUCAAGAGUAAACGCCAUAAUUAACUGCAUCUGGCAAAGCACAAUAGCGUUAAAAAUUCGCGGAGUGUGUGAAACAAUCUGUGCCGAAGCCCCGCUGAUCCGAGUCUUCGUUUGAAGGAUAUUUGCGAAAAACGGUGUCAUGGGGUCUGAUAUGGAUAGUAGUUAUCUUCGAAUGCUCGUAUGGUGAUGAUUUCUACCUGUUCAGAUCUGCCUUUUCACUGGUCAGAUGUACAGUUUGAAUUGUUUCUUGUUAUUGCUUGCCAGCUGAAAGAAAAAUUCAUUUGUCAGAUAUACGUUGAUUGCUCGGGUGCUGCGGAUUUUAAGCAAAAAUCCGCCAUCACUAUCCAUUGGUCUUCACUGUUUUGAGGCUUUUGCUAACUUAUGAAAUUUUACCAUCGGGCCCCCCCCAAAUUGAUUUUCUGGAUCCGCCCCUGCUACCAGGGUCAUAAAAUUACCCCGGGAAAUGCCCAAAACUCCUAUGAAAGCCUUGUCAAAUGUGUGUGUGUACAGAGGAAGGGUCAAACUACUGCCAGGGUUAUAAAACUACUCCUUGAAAUGCGCAGAACUCCCAUGAAAGCCUUGUCAAAUGUGUGUUUUCAUAGGUUCAUGGUGAAGAAGGGUCACACUACCAGCAGGGUCAUAAAACUACCCCUGUAAAUGCACAGAACUCCCACGAAAGCCUUGUCAAAUGUGUGUUUUCAUAGGUUCAUGGUGCAGAAGAAGGGUCACACUACCAGCAGGGUCAUAAAACUACCCCUGUAAAUGCGCAGAACUCCCAUGAAAGCCUUGUCAAAUAUGUGUUUUCUUAAGGGGGGUAAAUCUCUGGCUGCUUACAGCUAUUUAUUUACUUACAGCUACUUAUGGCUUGACUACUUACUUACAACUAAUUACGGCUUGACGCAUAGCAACCAACCUCACAUGGGAACAUCCUCAAGGGGGGAUAUCUCUCGGUACUUGACUUUUUGGAACACCGCAAUAAAAAAUGACUUAACAAUGACGACGCAGUGAUAAGGACGGACUGGCUUACUGUAACCUCUUAGAUAAACACUUUGACAUUGGCGUUGGUUUUGAGGGCAGACCAUAAGUGCCUCAAGGAGUUACUGAUAAGGGUUGAGAGCUGCAUACCGUGGCCCGGUUCAGGUUGGGUCAGUUAAGUAUAUGCUAGGUUGGGUUAGGAGGGAUUAGAUCAAGCUAGGAUUACAUGAUGUAGAUUCUGUUUGCUGGGAAACACACUGGGAAUAAAUAGUUGGUGUCUUGAGGUUUACAGGUCAAAUUAUUAAACAUUUGACAAGGCUUUCGUAGGAGUUUUGGGCAUUUUCAGGGGAAGUUCUAUGACCCUGGUGGUAGUUUGACCCUUCUUCUGUACCAUGAGCUUAAGGAAGUUCCCAUUUGCGUUGGUUACUGUGUGUUAAUCUGUUUUUUUAGAUCAUUUUGGUAACUCACAGAAAGAAUUUUUUUUACGACUGUUCUCAAAGGUUUAUCAGUAAGGGAUAUUUGCCAAAGGAUGCUGUCAUGUGUAGGGGAGAAAGAUAUGUAUAUAAAAAAAAGACAGGAAACGAUAGCAAAUAAACAAGGAAAUGACCAAAUAAUUAUGAGAGACUGAGACAAACUGAAAUAAGAAAAAAAAUGGGGGGCAAAAUAAUCAAAGGACCCCCAAAAAUGGUCACAAAAAUAAUGAAAAAAAUAUAUAAACGAAAAAGAUAUAACUUCAAGGGAACACUCAGAAACAGGGGACAAAACCAUACAAAGGACACCAGAAAACAAAACAGAGAUGGAUAUAACUUCAAAGGACACUAAGAAACAGGAGGACAUAACCAUACAAACGACACCAGAAAACAAAGCAAAAACGGAUAUAACUUCAAAGGACACUCAGAAAUGGGGGACAAGACCAAACAAAAGGACACCAGAAAACAAAACAAAAACAGAUAAAACUUCAAAGGACACUAAGAAACAGGGGGACAUAACCAUACAAAGGACACCAAAAAACAAAAAGAUAUAACUUCAAGGGACACUCAGAAACAGGGGACAAUACAAUACAAGAGGACACCAAAAAACAAAACAAAAAAAAUAACAGUAACAAUCGGGAAAAAUAAAAAUCAGUAAAUAUAUUCUGGUAAAUGUAUAUUCGAUGUCAUUUCAAGACUCCAUAAGUACAUGGAUCAAAUUAUGGCAGCUGACCACUCAAGCCAGAGGUCAGCGAGGGGGGGGGGUGAGGAGGGGAGGGGAGGAGAGGGUUAGGUUAUGUAAGGUAAGGUUAGGUAAGGUAAGGUUAGGUAAGGUAAGGUAAGGUAAGGUUAGGUAAGUAGGUAAGGUUAGGUAAGGAAAGGAAGGAAGGUUAGGUAAGGAAAGGAAGGAAGGUACAGUCAGGUAAGGUUAGGUAAGGUCCUCUUUUCUUCUUCACUUCCAAUAUUUUCUUUUUUCUUUUUUUUUCUUUUUUUUCUUCUCUCCACUUCCAAUAUUAUCUUUUUCUUCUUUGUCUUUUCCUUCCUCUCUUGUUCCCUUCCAUAUUUUCUUCUUUUUCUUCUUUUUCUUCUCUCCCUUUCCAAUAUUUUCUUUUUUCUUAUUAUUUCUUCUAUUUUCCUUCAAAUAUUUUCUCCUUUUUCUUCUUUGUCUUCACCACCACCACCACCACCAUCACCACCACUACCACCACCACCAUCAACACCAUCAUCACCACUCUUCAAACGACAGAGUAAACGGUGGAUGGAGUCUUGAGGUGGAUAGUGGAAGGUGGAACGGGUGGUUGAGGUGGAUUGUUAAGAGGUGGAGCAGGUGGAUGACAGGGUUAGUAAGUGGAUGGUGUUGCUAGGCUGGAGUAGGCCUAGGUGGAUGGCAGGUUGUGGAAGGUUGAUGUGGAUGGAGAGGGGCCUUGUGUAGAUGGUGGAGGAGGUGGAAGA
This is a long non-coding RNA of Eriocheir sinensis (Chinese mitten crab), 3080 nucleotides long. RefSeq lists it as uncharacterized. The transcript is spliced from 2 exons. The record is from RefSeq and is a predicted model, not a curated record. Lineage: Eukaryota; Metazoa; Arthropoda; Malacostraca; Decapoda; Varunidae.